GACCUCAGUUCAGGUGAGAUUACCGGCUGAAUUUAAGCAUAUUACUAAGCCGAGGAAAAGAAACUAACAAGGAUUCCCCUAGUAGCAGCGAGCGAACAGGGAAGAGCCCAGCGCUGAAUCCCCCGGGCCUCGCUCGGCGGGAAAUGUAGCGUUUGGGAGGGCCCGUCAACACGGCGACUCGCUCACUGGUUCAAGUCCAACUUGAAUGGGGCCACACAGAGGGUGACAGGCCCGUAGAGCAGGAGCGGUUGUCGUGUGGGUCUCUCCUUAGAGUCGGUUUGCUUGAGAGUGCAGACUUAAGUGGGUGGUAAACUCCAUCUAAGGCUAAAUAUGACCACGAGACCGAUAGCACACAAGUACCGUGAGGGAAAGGUGAAAAGAACUUUGAAGAGAGAGUUCAAGAGUACGUGAAACUGAAGUGGUGUAAACGGACGAGUUCGAAAAGUCCGAAUGGUGAGAUUCAAGCUUACCGUGCCGGUGGCCCUCGGGUUCAGAUGGCGUCGUCAGCUCGGGCUUCGGUUCGGGUCAUACGGCGUCACUCGUCCUGGGGGUAUCUGUCUGGUGCGGUGGGCUGCACUUCUCGCCUAGUAGGACGUCGCGACCCGUUGGGAUGUUCCGUUCACUGGCCCUCGGUGGAGCCCGCGCCGGAGCGUGGCCUUGUGCCGCGUUGCUGUUUGCACGGACCCGGGGUGACCUGAUCGGCGCCCGACGGUAUCAAAGCUUGGGAAGAGGCCGCACAGAGGAUGCGUUCGAUGGCCGUUUCGGCCUACACUCGGACAGGCCUGCACCCGGUCAGCGGCGCUUCUGCUUU
Molecule: ribosomal RNA, 811 nt
Filed under: Frankliniella occidentalis (western flower thrips)
Lineage: Eukaryota; Metazoa; Arthropoda; Insecta; Thysanoptera; Thripidae
Description: eukaryotic LSU rRNA
Rfam family: Eukaryotic large subunit ribosomal RNA
Source: RNAcentral